AUGAAGAUGAGGGCAGCCAAGAGGCGUAGGUCUGAUGGGACCGCCGGACGCAGGGCACUGAAAAGGCCAUGCGAUCUCCCGAAGCUCACCCAGGGCGAUCUCAUCAGCAGCCUUCCUGAUGCCAUCCUUGAGGCCAUCAUCUCCCUCCUCCCCAUCAAGGACGGCGUUCGCACGCAGGCCGUCGCCCGGGGAUGGCGUCCGCUGUGGCGCUCCGCGCCUCUCGACCUCGACGCCACCGACAUCUGCUCCAACAAAUAUAAGCGCAUAUCUGUCAUUUCCGGCAUCCUCCGCAACCACCUUGGCCCUGCCCGUCGCUUCACGUUCGAAAACAUCUGCCUCCACAAAUCUAAAAAAGGGUAUGCCAAGGACGAUGCUGAGGUCGAACGCUGGUUCCACUCCCGGUGCCUCGACAACCUUGAGGAGCUUGAUAUCAGCUUCCGGCUGUUGGGUAAAGCAGGCGUGUCAAGGAACCGGUACCCGCUGCCAUCAUCCGUGCUCCGCUUGGCACCAACUCUCGUUGUAGCCGGAAUCGGCGUGUGCAGGUUCCCAAGUGAAAUUGCACGUUGUGUGAACUUUCCCCUGCUCCGGCAACUCACUCUGUGGAGUAUUAGCAUCUCGGAGGAAGCCUUACAUGUGCUGCUCUCUGCCUGCCAUGUUUUGGAGACCCUAUUUCUGGAGGAUAUUCGUGACGUCGAUUGCCUUCGUGUUAGCUCGCCAACUCUCAAGAUCAUCUGGUUCAGUGCUACUCACUUGGGGAGACAAGAAUUGGUUAUUGAGGACGUCCCUCACCUUGAAAGGCUACUUUGUCCAGCCUUGGAUGGUGAGACUAUUCGAGUACAUAAGGCGCCUAAAUUGAAGAUAUUGGGGCCUUUGUCACCCCACGUUUCCAAAAUCGAGAUUGCAAACCUAAUCUUGCAGGAAACGAUGCCACCCAGCAGCUUGAGCCAUUCGAUAUGCACUGUGAAUAUUUUGGCUCUCAAGUUUGCUGGCCCAGAUUUAAAUGCGGUUCUCAAUAUCCUCCGGUGCUUCCCCUGCUUGGAAAAGCUCUAUGUCAUUAUGCAUCAGUAUGAACCCCUAAAUCCAAUCAAAUGCCUUGAGAGCCAUCUCAAAGUACUGGUGUUGAAUAAUUACAUAGGCGACGAGGAAGAUAUUGGCUUUGCCAAGUUCUUUGUUUCGAAUGCGAAAGUCGUAAAAGAAAUCAAAUUUGGAGUGUCUAAUGAGAUUGGCAACGAUAGGAAAUGGAUGAGUAAUCAAAAGUCACGCUGCUAG
Molecule: ribosomal RNA, 1269 nt
Filed under: Triticum aestivum (bread wheat)
Lineage: Eukaryota; Viridiplantae; Streptophyta; Magnoliopsida; Poales; Poaceae
Description: partial small subunit ribosomal RNA
Source: RNAcentral